GAAUUCGCCCUUAGAGUUUGAUCCUGGCUCAGGAUUAACGCUGGCGGCGUGCAUAACACAUUCAAGUCGAACGGAACAGAAAGGCUUCUGUUUUUCUGUUUAGUGGCGGACGGGUGAGUAACGCGUGAGUAAUCUACCUCUGGGUGCGGAAUAACAACCGGAAACAGUUGCUAAUACCGCAUGAAACAGCAGAACCGCAUGGUUCAACUGUCAAAGGCUUGCUGCCCGGAGAUGAGCUUGCGUCCGAUUAGAUAGUUGGCGGGGUAAGAGCCCACCAAGUCGACGAUCGGUAGCCGGACUGAGAGGUUGAACGGCCACAUUGGAACUGAGAUACGGUCCAGACUCCUACGGGAGGCAGCAGUGGGGAAUAUUGGGCAAUGGGCGAAAGCCUGACCCAGCGACGCCGCGUGAGGGAAGAAGAUCUUCGGAUUGUAAACCUUAGUCAACAGGGAAGAAGCAAGUGACGGUACCUGUGGAGGAAGCCACGGCUAACUACGUGCCAGCAGCCGCGGAAAUACGUAGGUGGCGAGCGUUAUCCGGAAUUACUGGGUGUAAAGGGUGUGUAGGCGGGCUAGCAAGUCAGAUGUGAAAACUAUGGGCCUAACCCAUAGCCUGCAUUUGAAACUGUUGGUCUUGAGAGUGGGAGAGGUAAACGGAAUUCCCGGUGUAGCGGUGAAAUGCGUAGAUAUCAGGAGGAACACCGAUGGCGAAGGCAGGUCUCUGGGCUGUAACUGACGCUGAGGAGCGAAAGCAUGGGGAGCGAACAGGAUUAGAUACCCUGGUAGUCCACGCUGUAAACGAUGAUUACUAGGUGUGGGGGGAUUGACCCCUUCCGUGCCGCAGUUAACACAAUAAGUAAUCCACCUGGGGAGUACGACCGCAAGGUUGAAACUCAAAGGAAUUGACGGGGGCCCGCACAAGCGGCGGAGCAUGCGGAUUAAUUCGAUGCAACGCGAAGAACCUUACCAAGGCUUGACAUGAUCCGGAAAGGCCUGGAAACAGGUCCCCCACUUGUGGCCGGUUUACAGGUGGUGCAUGGUUGUCGUCAGCUCGUGUCGUGAGAUGUUGGGUUAAGUCCCGCAACGAGCGCAACCCUCGUUCUAUGUUGCCAGCGGGUUAUGCCGGGGACUCAUAGGAGACUGCCGGGGUCAACUCGGAGGAAGGUGGGGACGACGUCAAAUCAUCAUGCCCCUUAUGUCUUGGGCUUCACGCAUGCUACAAUGGCCGGUACAAAGGGUUGCGAUACUGUGAGGUGGAGCUAAUCCCAAAAAGCCGGUCUCAGUUCGGAUUGAGGUCUGCAACUCGACCUCAUGAAGUUGGAGUCGCUAGUAUUCGCAGAUCAGCAACGCUGCGGUGAAUACGUUCCCGGGCCUUGUACUCACCGCCCGUCA
RNAcentral lists this ribosomal RNA (1391 nucleotides) under uncultured bacterium. RNAcentral's name for it is "bacterial SSU rRNA". It matches the Rfam family "Bacterial small subunit ribosomal RNA". The record is from RNAcentral.